Molecule: ribosomal RNA, 492 nt
Filed under: uncultured bacterium
Lineage: Bacteria
Description: partial 16S ribosomal RNA
Rfam family: Bacterial small subunit ribosomal RNA
Source: RNAcentral
AGUGAACGCUGGCGGUAGGCCUAACACAUGCAAGUCGAACGGCAGCACAGUAAGAGCUUGCUCUUACGGGUGGCGAGUGGCGGACGAGUGAGGAAUACAUCGGAAUCUACUUUUUCGUGGGGGAUAACGUAGGGAAACUUACGCUAAUACCGCAUACGACCUACGGGUGAAAGCAGGGGAUCUUCGGACCUUGCGCGAUUGAAUGAGCCGAUGCCGGAUUAGCUAGUUGGCGGGGUAAAGGCCCACCAAGGCGACGAUCCGUAGCUGGUCUGAGAGGAUGAUCAGCCACACUGGAACUGAGACGCGGUCCAGACUCCUACGGGAGGCAGCAGUGGGGAAUAUUGGACAAUGGGCGCAAGCCUGAUCCAGCCAUACCGCGUGGGUGAAGAAGGCCUUCGGGUUGUAAAGCCCUUUUGUUGGGAAAGAAAAGCAGCAGGUUAAUACCCCGCUGUUCUGACGGUACCCAAAGAAUAAGCACCGGCUAACUUCGUG